RNAcentral lists this long non-coding RNA (558 nucleotides) under Solanum tuberosum (potato). RNAcentral's name for it is "long non-coding RNA (STUB_LNC000269)". Lineage: Eukaryota; Viridiplantae; Streptophyta; Magnoliopsida; Solanales; Solanaceae. The record is from RNAcentral.
UGGAUAGCAUGGAUCGCGUAAAAGCAUUAGAGGAGCUUGAUGGACACAAAAUCAAGAAGUACAAUGUGUGGAAGGUCCAUCUAAGUGAAGAGAAAGAAGAAAGAGGCCAUUUGUGCAAAUGGUCAUCUCAUAAUUUCAAGAAUUCACAAAAGAAGACAACCAAACAAGGCCCUUACCUCAUUAAGGGUAAAUUGUCAAAGAAGUGUCUUCUUUACUUUAUUUUCAAGAAUACACAAAAGAAGUCAACAAAACAAGGUCCUUACCUCAUUAAGGGUAAAAUUGUCAAAUAAGUGUCUUCUUUAUUUUAUUUGUAUAAAUAGUAGUCUCUUUUAUUUUGGAAGAUUUAGACUAUAUGGAUUUUGAAUGUGAAAUGAACAAACUCUUUCAAGAGUGUAGUUUAAGGGUGGAAUCCCUUCAGGAUAGUCUAGCUUAGUGUAGCUUAAUCUAGAUUAGUGAUGGGUGGAUUCUCAUUGUUGAUUUAGGACUUCUUUAACCUUGAUUUCACUUGAGAUUGCUCAUUUGUGGUUUUCAAUUUGAGUUGUUUCUUUUCGAAUUCAA